UAGUCCACGCCGUAAACGAUGGUCACUAGCUGUUCGGACUUCGGUCCGAGUGGCUAAGCGAAAGUGGUAAGUGACCCACCUGGGGAGUACGUUCGCAAGAAUGAAACUCAAAGGAAUUGACGGGGGCCCGCACAAGCGGUGGAGCAUGUGGUUUAAUUCGAUGAUACGCGAGGAACCUUACCAGGGCUUAAAUGUAAGUUGCAUAGUUUAGAGAUAGACUUUUCUUCGGACUACUUACAAGGUGCUGCAUGGUUGUCGUCAGCUCGUGCCGUGAGGUGUCAGGUUAAGUCCUAUAACGAGCGCAACCCCUGUUGUUAGUUGCCAGCAUGUAAGAUGGGAACUCUAACAAGACUGCCGGUGCAAACCGUGAGGAAGGUGGGGAUGACGUCAAAUCAUCACGGCCCUUACGUCCUGGGGCUACACACGUGCUACAAUGGGUAGGGUACAGAGAGCAGCCACUACGCGAGUAGGGAGC
RNAcentral lists this ribosomal RNA (475 nucleotides) under uncultured bacterium. RNAcentral describes it as "bacterial SSU rRNA". It matches the Rfam family "Bacterial small subunit ribosomal RNA", at positions 791 to 1268 of the family's 1533-position model. The record is from RNAcentral.